RNAcentral lists this ribosomal RNA (253 nucleotides) under uncultured bacterium. RNAcentral's name for it is "partial 16S ribosomal RNA". It matches the Rfam family "Bacterial small subunit ribosomal RNA", at positions 524 to 776 of the family's 1533-position model. The record is from RNAcentral.
UACGGGGGGGGCAAGCGUUGUUCGGAAUUACUGGGCGUAAAGGGCUCGUAGGUGGCCAACUAAGUCAGACGUGAAAUCCCUCGGCUUAACCGGGGAACUGCGUCUGAUACUGGAUGGCUUGAGUUCGGGAGAGGGAUGCGGAAUUCCAGGUGUAGCGGUGAAAUGCGUAGAUAUCUGGAGGAACACCGGUGGCGAAGGCGGCAUCCUGGACCGACACUGACACUGAGGAGCGAAAGCCAGGGGAGCGAACAGG